Molecule: long non-coding RNA, 2032 nt
Filed under: Ananas comosus (pineapple)
Lineage: Eukaryota; Viridiplantae; Streptophyta; Magnoliopsida; Poales; Bromeliaceae
Description: long non-coding RNA (ACOM_LNC037804)
Source: RNAcentral
AACCUAAUUGCUAGGUAAACGAACGCGUUGGUGAAGUCGGUUCGGCGAUUCGUCGAGCCUACGCGAAGUUAUUAAAGAAACAAACGUUUAGGCUUCGUUUCCGCCUGGAGGGCCGAGGCGACGUCGUAAAAUCAUGAAAAUGGAUUUGAAGCAUCGUGGCACAUAACCGAAGACCUUUAAUUUUUGGAUCAUGAAUUGGAGGCCGUUCGGGUGGUCGCGCGAGAGAUCGGACCAAAGCGGGUGCCGGGUGCCGCGGGAGGCCGAUUGCAAGUGUCGACAAGCAAUCGGAAUGCGAUAAAAGGUGGGGGGUGUCAUCCCGAAGCAACUGAGCUUCCUUUUAUGUCUAAAUUCUAUAUCUUGAUCAUAUUCCUAUAUGUUGAUAUAUUGUGCAUUAUAGGAUUAGUAGAUGAUUACAUUUCCAUUCCUUGCAUGUUACCUAGGUUGUGUAGCAUUGUGGGCUUGACACUUGAUCUUAGGUUGCAUGAGGAUUGGGUCUUGUGACAAGAAUCCUAUAGUGACAAGAAUGAUGAUGAACUUGGACAUGUAAUUGGCCUAGACGAGUGGCAUUUGGACUAGUGUAACAAAGACACUAUAAUAUUGACGAGUGGCAUGUCGAUUUAGUGUAUUAAGACACAUAUAACAUCAUGACAUAAACGAGUGGCAUCAAAUCUAGUGUAGUGAAACACUAUGGCAUUUGAACCUAGGGAUAGUAGAUUUUCCCGAUUGUCAUGUUGUAGACAUUAUGCAUUUGGCAUUAGUGCAUUUGAGGCAUUGAUUAUGCAUUUGGUAUUGUGCAGCAGAGGCACAUUGACCCUGGUAGAUAGGGUAUCCUCUUGUGAGGAUUGGAUCAUACUCACUAGUCUGUUUUUGCUUGUCGGUGGUCGCUCCACCGAAGCACGAGUCUCCGGAGUACUUCACUAGGGGCAGACGUAGUUGUCCCGCAGACGGUCUCGGUGUGCGAGUGCAGAUUCUCCUCACCUAUGAGAUUGAGAGUGAGUCGGGGUUGACCCCGGGGUGGCAACCUUCAGGUUAGCCAUGAGAUUGGAUACUAUCGAGGCAUAGUUGCACGACGCACUAUGUAGUAGCUCGUUCAUUCGGAUUAUUGAGGCAUAGUAGCAUGUGCAGAUACAUCACUAUGUAGUAGCUCAUUUCCAAGCAGAUUGGGUAAAGAAUAUGAAUGGCAUAGCAGAUUUGCAUUCAUACCUUGAGUUGACAUUGAGACAUAGUAGCAUGUUGUAGAUACAUCACUAUGUAGUAGCUCAUUUCUAUUAUUGUUGAAGCAUAGUAUCAUGAUUAGUAGAAUAUCAUUGCUAUGUUCAUGCAUUCCAUGAUUACAGAGGCAUAGUAGCAUGUGUAUAUUCCAUUACUAUGUAGCAGCUCGUACUUAGUAGAGCGAGAUUGAGUCGGGCAAGGAGCGGGGUAGCUCUUUGUUUAGGACCUUUGAGAUUUGAGAUCUUAGGCAAGUUGGCCUAAUCGAUUGGGUUGUAACAUGAAUAGCAUAAGUGGAUUGCAUUCAUGCCAUGAUUAGACAUAGUAGACUGCAUAACUAUGUUGUAGUUGUAUUUAUUACACUGUUGAAGCAUACUAGCAUGAUAGUAGGUUAUUGCUAGAUGAUGUUCCAUGCAUUCUUUGCAAUUGAUGGCAUGGUAGAUAUAGUAGCAAUGUAUUUCUAUCUACCUUUCUAUCUAUCUAUCUGUGCCAGCUUGGACCUAGUGGGAAAACCGGCGGCGUCGGCGGCCGAACCCACUGGGAACUAUAUUUAUAUAGUUCUCACCCCGUGUGGUUUUGGGGUACAGGUACACACGAGAGCGUACCGGCAGAGGACCGUGGUAAGGGCACAGCGUCCUAGUAGCUAGUAGCUUUCCUUAUGCAUUAGAGUACCCUCGUGUACAUAGAGAUGUAGAUGUAUUUGGAAGUUACUUAUGUAUUUGGAGAGCCAUUUUGUAUUAUGAGAAGAAUAUGUAUUUAUUUGGGAAGAUGAAAAUGUAAACCAAUGUGUAAAGGUUAAAUGUGAUGUAAUAGCUAGAUGUAU